RNAcentral lists this ribosomal RNA (406 nucleotides) under uncultured bacterium. Its description in RNAcentral is "partial 16S ribosomal RNA". It matches the Rfam family "Bacterial small subunit ribosomal RNA", at positions 28 to 526 of the family's 1533-position model. The record is from RNAcentral.
GACGAACGCUGGCGGCGUGCUUAACACAUGCAAGUCGAACGAGUGGCGAACGGGUGAGUAAUACGUGGGUAACCUGCCCUCUUUUUGGGAUAAGCCUUGGAAACGGGGUCUAAUACCGAAUAAAGGGGGAUGGGCUCGCGGCCUAUCAGCUGGUUGGUGGGGGGAUGGCCUACCAAGGCGGUGACGGGUAGCCGGCCUGAGAGGGUGACCGGAAACAAUGGGACUGAGAGACGGCCCAGGCACCUACGGGAGGGAGCAGUGGGGGAUAUGGCACAAUGGGCGAAAGCCUGAGGCAGCGAGGCCGAGUAGGGGAUGGAGGCGUAAAGGUUGUAAAGCUCUGUCGCAGGCGAACGGGUAGGUGGAGAAGAAGCGCCGGCUAACUACGUGCCAGCAGCCGCGGUAAUUC